Long non-coding RNA from Mauremys reevesii (Reeves's turtle), 1292 nucleotides. RefSeq lists it as uncharacterized. The record is from RefSeq and is a predicted model, not a curated record. Lineage: Eukaryota; Metazoa; Chordata; Testudines; Geoemydidae. The transcript is spliced from 3 exons.
GAAGUUAAGAUCUAAUGCAAACAGAUAGUGCAGACAAUUUGUUGCAAAUUAGUUUACUUUUUGUAUAAAUUAUCUUCUUGUUUACCUUAGUGUGAAAUCCCCCUUUAAGCUGCUUGUAAGUUAUGCACAACUGGGUUAGCUUUAAAAAAAAGCUCAUGUAUAAGGUUGCAAUAUGUUUUCUAUCUGUACUCUAGGGCUAUUGCACUCAGUACCUACCACUGCCACCUAGACCAGUGGUCUCCAACGCGGUGCCCGCCAGGGCAUCUAUGUGCGCCUGUCUACUGAUGACGCUGCUUCUCGGCGGCAUUUCGGCAGUGGUGCUUCUUGGUGUUGCCGCUUCUCAGAGGCAUUUUGGCAGCUGCUUAGCUGGCGGCUGCGCUCCCCAGCGGCAUUUCAGCGGCUAGUCAUCUGGCACCCGCCACACUGAAAGUCUAGGUUAAGGCACAAGCUCUUCCACCUAGGAGAAGGAACCAUUCACAAGGCUGCACAAGGAGCAGCUCCAACAGCAGCAUAAAGAAAACAUGUGUGGCUUGUGUGAAGAGAGGAGAUGAUGGAAGUGGGAGGGGCUUAGGUACCUAGAUAUUACAGUGAUGGGGGCCCAUAGAUAGAUUAUAUAGUCUGCUCCUACAGAUAAGAGCCUAGCUGAAGAGAACUGACAAUAGCCAUGGGAUUUAUCCAGCCAGUAGGGGCAGCAGCUCUGGCAAUAUUAAAAGCCGCAUGUAAAUACCUCCCAAAAGUUGGGCAGAUCCGGGGGAAGAGGCUACUUACUGGUCCACGGCUUCUCUUUAUGCUCUGUUUUAUCUCUCUGUUUGAUGAAUAGGAGGGGAUGGGAAGGGGAACAGCUUUUCCCCCCUCACCAGGACAGAAUAGGGGAAAUGGAAGAUCUCUAGGAUAGAAAGAAUAGAGGGAGAGAAAGAGAGGGAAGCUAUCAGGUGGGGAGGACUUUAAAAAAAAAGUCUGAUUAAACAUAAAUGAGACAGUUUUAAUAGAAGCUGAGACUAAGUCUGAAACUAAGCAGUCAGGAUAACGGUAUCAACCGCUCACACCACAGAAAAAGCAAUAUAGAAUCCUGCAGAUCUCAGUCUGGGGCACUGGACAUCUGAAAUGCUGGUCAUGGGAAGGGCCUCCUGCAAUGGGUGCGUUUGAAAGAUGGGUGUCUGGGGCAUUCUUCUAGGAAACAUACAUCAAAACAAAGCCUUCCAAUGAGGAAAACUUCCCUGUUUAAGUCUGACCCUAUGAAAAAGUCCACAUGCAUUUGGGUGAAAUUAGAAGCAAAAUAAAUAUAAUACUGA